Long non-coding RNA from Ictalurus punctatus (channel catfish), 739 nucleotides. The record is from Ensembl. NCBI's taxonomy places the organism in Eukaryota, Metazoa, Chordata, Actinopteri, Siluriformes, Ictaluridae.
AGCCUCUGUGAAAUCGCACUGAAUAAGAAUUAUAGAAAUUCUGAACCCCAUCACAAGAUCAACUUUAACAUGUAGAAAUCUUGCAUCUCUGAACAAACCUAAAGGUCAAGCAAGGCUUACAAACAUUCACAAGCUGAAGUGGUAUAAGAAUUCAGUGCAUGAAAGAGUAUUUGAAUGAACUGUAAGCAAGUAUAUAUGUUUACCUGCUUGUCCAUAUAGGUGUAAAACUGGGUGUGUAAGCCAAAGCAACAUCACUGGUUCCAAGUUUUUGCACCCCCAUGUGUACACCUUAUGCACUUGCAAGAACACAGCAGUUUCGUUCACUUGGCUUACUUGUGGCUCCAAGGUGUGUCAGCAAGCAUACGUUUAUGCAAAUUACUGUUUGCUUGAGGGUAAACAGGCAGGCCAACUGCAUCCUGAACGUUUAUUUAUUUAUUUACCAUUUUAACGUCUGGCACAUGCAGCUGUGUUUUCUGUACUUCUGUGUUUUACUCAACUUUUUGUUUGUUUGCUCAUUGCCACUCCUGGAAAGCAUUAACUCCUUUUUAGCACUGAAAACAUGUGCUUCAGGUAGGUGUAAUGUAGGUGCAACCAAACAGCUCUAGUGCCAAGAACAUGCAACUAAAUUAAGUGAACAAAUUUGACCCUAAGUAGACCAGAUUCUAGUAAUAUUAGUGCAUACUUAAUACACACACGUAUGCGUAUGUACAUGUAUGUAUGUAUGUACACACACAUAUUU